CCUACGGGUGGCUGCAGGGGGGAAUAUUGGACAAUGGGGGCAACCCUGAUCCAGCCAUGCCGCGUGUGUGAAGAAGGCCCUCGGGUUGUAAAGCACUUUCAGUGAGGAAGAACGCCUGGUGGUUAAUACCCAUCAGGAAAGACAUCACUCACAGAAGAAGCACCGGCUAACUCCGUGCCAGCAGCCGCGGUAAUACGGAGGGUGCGAGCGUUAAUCGGAAUUACUGGGCGUACAGCGCGCGUAGGUGGCUUGAUAAGCCGGUUGUGAAAGCCCCGGGCUCAACCUGGGAACGGCAUCCGGAACUGUCAAGCUAGAGUGCAGGAGAGGAAGGUAGAAUUCCCGGUGUAGCGGUGAAAUGCGUAGAGAUCGGGAGGAAUACCAGUGGCGAAGGCGGCCUUCUGGACUGACACUGACACUGAGGUGCGAAAGCGUGGGUAGCAAACAGGAUUAGAUACCCCAGUAGUC
Molecule: ribosomal RNA, 465 nt
Filed under: Vreelandella stevensii
Lineage: Bacteria; Pseudomonadati; Pseudomonadota; Gammaproteobacteria; Oceanospirillales; Halomonadaceae
Description: partial 16S ribosomal RNA
Rfam family: Bacterial small subunit ribosomal RNA
Source: RNAcentral